AGAAUUUGUCUAGCAGGUUUUCCGGUUUUUACCAGAAAACCCCC
Molecule: small nuclear RNA, 44 nt
Filed under: Tupaia belangeri chinensis (Chinese tree shrew)
Lineage: Eukaryota; Metazoa; Chordata; Mammalia; Scandentia; Tupaiidae
Description: Tupaia chinensis (Chinese tree shrew) U7 small nuclear RNA
Rfam family: U7 small nuclear RNA
About the family: Animal histone pre-mRNAs are spliced by a different mechanism than nuclear pre-mRNAs and self-splicing introns. This processing involves the U7 snRNP, which contains only one RNA species: U7.
Source: Rfam by way of RNAcentral